RNAcentral lists this ribosomal RNA (451 nucleotides) under uncultured cyanobacterium. RNAcentral describes it as "bacterial SSU rRNA". It matches the Rfam family "Bacterial small subunit ribosomal RNA", at positions 8 to 503 of the family's 1533-position model. Lineage: Bacteria; Bacillati; Cyanobacteriota. The record is from RNAcentral.
AGGCUUUGAUCCUGGCUCAGGAUGAACGCUGGCGGUAUGCUUAACACAUGCAAGUCGAACGGGAUCUUCGGAUCUAGUGGCGGACGGGUGAGUAACGCGUAGGAAUCUACCCUUAGGAGGGGGAUAACGGUUGGAAACGACCGCUAAUACCCCGUAAGCCGAGAGGUAAAAGGAUUAAUUGCCUAGGGAUGAGCCUGCGUCUGAUUAGCUAGUUGGUGGGGUAAGAGCCUACCAAGGCGACGAUCAGUAGCUGGUCUGAGAGGACGAUCAGCCACACUGGGACUGAGACACGGCCCAGACUCUACGGGAGGCAGCAGUGGGGAAUUUUCCGCAAUGGGCGAAAGCCUGACGGAGCAAUACCGCGUGAGGGAAGACGGCUUUUGGGUUGUAAACCUCUUUUCUCUGGGAAGAAGCAAUGACGGUACCAUGAGGAAUCAGCAUCGGCUACAUC